Molecule: ribosomal RNA, 536 nt
Filed under: Caridina thachlam
Lineage: Eukaryota; Metazoa; Arthropoda; Malacostraca; Decapoda; Atyidae
Description: partial large subunit ribosomal RNA
Rfam family: Bacterial large subunit ribosomal RNA
Source: RNAcentral
UGUGUGGGUGUUGAUGCGCAGUCUGGCCUGCCCCCUGAAAAUUUUAAAGGGCCGCGGUAUUUGAACCGUGCUAAGGUAGCAUAAUAAAUAGUCUUUUAAUUGAGGUCUAGUAUGAAUGGUCGGACAGGAGGUAAGCUGUUUUAAUUAUAAAAUUUGAAUUUUACUUUUAAGUGAAAAGGCUUAAAUUGGAUAGUGGGACGAUAAGACCCUAUAAAGCUUUACAUUUUAUUUAUUAGUUGUGGAGUUUAAGGUGUUCUAUUCUUUUAAAAUAAAAGUGUUUCGUUGGGGCGACGAGAAUAUAAAAUAAUAACUGUUUUUAUAAAAAAAUAGAUUUUUUUAGGGGUACUGAUCCUUUGUAGAGAUUAAAAGAAUUAAGUUACUUUAGGGAUAACAGCGUAAUUUUUCUUGAGAGUUCAUAUCGACAGAAAUAGUUGCGACCUCGAUGUUGAAUUAAGAUAUCCUCCAGGUGUAGCAGUUUUGGUGGUAGGUCUGUUCGACCUUUAAAAUCUUACAUGAUUUGAGUUCAGACCGGCGUA